This 497-nucleotide ribosomal RNA is filed under the name uncultured bacterium. Its description in RNAcentral is "partial 16S ribosomal RNA". It matches the Rfam family "Bacterial small subunit ribosomal RNA", at positions 28 to 507 of the family's 1533-position model. The record is from RNAcentral.
GAUGAACGCUGGCGGCGUGCCUAAUACAUGCAAGUCGAGCGAACGGACGAGAAGCUUGCUUCUCUGAUGUUAGCGGCGGACGGGUGAGUAACACGUGGAUAACCUACCUAUAAGAAUGGGAUAACUUCGGGAAACCGGAGCUAAUACCGGAUAAUAUUUUGAACCGCAUGGUUCAAAAGUGAAAGACGGUCUUGCUGUCACUUAUAGAUGGAUCCGCGCUGCAUUAGCUAGUUGGUAAGGUAACGGCUUACCAAGGCAACGAUGCAUAGCCGACCUGAGAGGGUGAUCGGCCACACUGGAACUGAGACACGGUCCAGACUCCUACGGGAGGCAGCAGUAGGGAAUCUUCCGCAAUGGGCGAAAGCCUGACGGAGCAACGCCGCGUGAGUGAUGAAGGUCUUCGGAUCGUAAAACUCUGUUAUUAGGGAAGAACAUAUGUGUAAGUAACUGUGCACAUCUUGACGGUACCUAAUCAGAAAGCCACGGCUAACUACGUG